RNAcentral lists this ribosomal RNA (279 nucleotides) under uncultured bacterium. Its description in RNAcentral is "partial 16S ribosomal RNA". It matches the Rfam family "Bacterial small subunit ribosomal RNA", at positions 506 to 784 of the family's 1533-position model. The record is from RNAcentral.
UGCCAGCCGCCGCGGUAAUACGGAGGGUGCAAGCGUUAUCCGGAUUUAUUGGGUUUAAAGGGUGCGCAGGCGGAACUUUAAGUCAGUGGUGAAAUCUUGCCGCUUAACGGUAAAAUUGCCUACGAAACUACUUGGCUAGAGUAUCGGAGAGGGUAGCGGAAUUCCAGGUGUAGCAGUGAAAUGCGUAGAUAUCUGGAGGAACACCAAUGGCGAAGGCAGCUACCUGGACGAUUACUGACGCUCAGGCACGAAAGCAUGGGGAGCGAAAGGGAUUAGAUA